Molecule: ribosomal RNA, 253 nt
Filed under: uncultured bacterium
Lineage: Bacteria
Description: partial 16S ribosomal RNA
Rfam family: Bacterial small subunit ribosomal RNA
Source: RNAcentral
UACAGAGGGCGCGAGCGUUGUCCGGAAUCACUGGGCGUAAAGGGCUCGUAGGCGGCCAACUAAGUCAGACGUGAAAUCCCCAGGCUCAACCUGGGAACUGCGUCUGAUACUGGAUGGCUUGAAUCCGGGAGAGGGAUGCAGAAUUCCAGGUGUAGCGGUGAAAUGCGUAGAUAUCUGGAGGAAUACCGGUGGCGAAGGCGGCAUCCUGGACCGGCAUUGACGCUGAGGAGCGAAAGCCAGGGGAGCAAACGGG